RNAcentral lists this ribosomal RNA (253 nucleotides) under uncultured bacterium. RNAcentral's name for it is "partial 16S ribosomal RNA". It matches the Rfam family "Bacterial small subunit ribosomal RNA", at positions 524 to 776 of the family's 1533-position model. The record is from RNAcentral.
UACGAAGGGGGCUAGCGUUGUUCGGAAUCACUGGGCGUAAAGCGCACGUAGGCGGAUUUGUAAGUCAGGGGUGAAAUCCCGGGGCUCAACCUCGGAACUGCCUUUGAUACUGCGAGUCUCGAGUCCGGAAGAGGUGAGUGGAAUUCCUAGUGUAGAGGUGAAAUUCGUAGAUAUUAGGAAGAACACCAGUGGCGAAGGCGGCUCACUGGUCCGGUACUGACGCUGAGGUGCGAAAGCGUGGGGAGCAAACAGG